GGCUAUUUAGUCAAAAAAAAAAUGAUUUUAAAUUGCAAAUUUAAAGGUGGACCCAUGUCUUUUAGCC
Molecule: transfer RNA, 67 nt
Filed under: Cryptolestes ferrugineus
Lineage: Eukaryota; Metazoa; Arthropoda; Insecta; Coleoptera; Laemophloeidae
Description: tRNA-Cys
Source: RNAcentral